Molecule: ribosomal RNA, 533 nt
Filed under: Carnobacterium maltaromaticum
Lineage: Bacteria; Bacillati; Bacillota; Bacilli; Lactobacillales; Carnobacteriaceae
Description: bacterial SSU rRNA
Rfam family: Bacterial small subunit ribosomal RNA
Source: RNAcentral
UGCAGUCGACGCACGAAGUUGAGAGCUUGCUCUUUACCAAGUGAGUGGCGGACGGGUGAGUAACACGUGGGUAACCUGCCCAUUAGAGGGGGAUAACAUUCGGAAACGGAUGCUAAUACCGCAUAGUUUCAGGAAUCGCAUGAUUCUUGAAGGAAAGGUGGCUUCGGCUACCACUAAUGGAUGGACCCGCGGCGUAUUAGCUAGUUGGUGAGGUAAUGGCUCACCAAGGCAAUGAUACGUAGCCGACCUGAGAGGGUGAUCGGCCACACUGGGACUGAGACACGGCCCAGACUCCUACGGGAGGCAGCAGUAGGGAAUCUUCCGCAAUGGACGAAAGUCUGACGGAGCAACGCCGCGUGAGUGAAGAAGGUUUUCGGAUCGUAAAACUCUGUUGUUAAAGAAGAACAAGGAUGAGAGUAACUGCUCAUCCCCUGACGGUAUUUAACCAGAAAGCCACGGCUAACUACGUGCCAGCAGCCGCGGUAAUACGUAGGUGGCAAGCGUUGUCCGGAUUUAUUGGGCGUAAAGCGAGC